GCCGGGCGGCGCGCUGGGUUUCUCCUCCUGGCCGUGCCGUGCGAUCGGCUCCCGUGCGGUCCGGGGCCUCCCGGGGACGGCGCGGCUUACGUACGGGACGGUGCCGGAGGGCCGGGAUCGGCGGCAGCGGGAUGGCACUUAGUUCUCUGAGAUGUGCUAUGGAAAUGAUGAGAGCGACUUCUGAGGCUGUAAGCGGUGGCUGAUGAGAGAAGCUAAAGAGAAGAUCCUCAAAAUUGGACUGGCUGAUAUGGAAUGAAGGGGCAUUUCAUAGCAAAUGGAUGAAGGACUCUGUGUCCUGGGACAAAACCAGCGCCAAACGUCUGAGUAAUUCAGCAGAACCGCAGGCUGUGGAGCUUGCAGUGCCUUCAGCGAUGGAGCAGUGCAGGAUGCUGGGCUCGGAUCCUAAAGCAAACCCACGUGAACAGAAACAUGAGCUCCACACGCAGCGUAGUUUAUUCAGCCAGGCUGGUUGUACUUGUGAGUGGACGGAUGCUUAAAGGAGGUGGAAGCUCUGCAGCUCUGACAGAUGGCCCAGGAAACCUUACUGUCAUCAAAGCUGUGGUAAUGUACAUCAACAGAAGGGGAAUAGACAAAGGAAAUGUGCUGUUACAAAGAGCCAGCUUUGGUUUAUGCCGUAUCUGUGAGUAUCCUGUACAGUGCUUUUGUAGCUGUGUUACCGAGACCAGAAGUCUUUUUUUCUACCUAAACUCAUAAAUGAACUUGAAUUUGCUUACAUGCUGGAGGAGGAAUUUGUGGGUUUUUUCUAACAGCAGUAUUAAAAAUACACAGAGUUUGUAUAAUAGCAAUCAUCACUGAGAUAGUGGGAUAAAUAGUUGUGGGUUGAUCCUGUGUUGCUUCUACAUGUACAGGAUGUUUUUCAAAUGAAGAUUGGCAUCUGAUAGAUUCCAGCAAUGUCUCUUCUUUCUGUUCCUUUCUUUAUUCAGACACUUAAUCGCUCUCAAUCUGUCAGGCUUCCCCUGCCUCAUUUCUGAUCUUCGCCUCAGCGAGCAGCUUUCUACCUCAGAGUCUUUUUAUUUCCUGAAAACUCCUCAGGUGUGGCACUCUGAAUCUGCACGCUGUGGUAUUCUUGAGCAACUCCAUCCUGUAGAGGACUGGAGGGGGAGCUUUUCUUCACACCUUGCUGUGUAUGAAACUUGAACUACACUCGAGAAGGGCAGAAAUGUAGCUGACCAGAGCCUCCAACAGCUCAGCCUUUUCCUUCAAACUAUGAAGAAGGCUUUAAUAUUCGUAAGUCAGAAAUCUCGUGUCAAAACUUAAUUCUCGUAUAGACACAGCCUUGCUCUGGGGGACCGUUGCAGGUGUGGUCUUUGAGUCAUCAUAGGUUAGGACACGUGAAGUAAUCUGAACGUGUUUCAAUUGCUGUGUAUUUUUCCCCGUUUCUCUGAUCAUUUCUCUGUAUUGCUGCAUCUGGCAGGGAUUGCUGUCCUGGCCCAGAGCUCUAUUCCCUCAUGGGCUGCACUUGUUUUGCUAUCCCACCAUUUGGGUUGCACAGGCCAUCCACGGCCAGUGUUCCCAUCCUCCUGGGCCUCCACACACAUGGCAGUUAGCAAGAAAGAGCAAAGUUGUUCAACCUUGUCCUAAAGUUAUCAAUCUGUUCAUCCAACCUGUGCCUUGGUCACAGUGGCAACGUGCCGUUAGCAAUGCCAUCACUGCACUCAGGUCACAAGCUCUGACAGCAGGCACUGGGGAUAAUUUCAGGUGAGGCCGUUCUUCACAUCCAGGCACACAGAUGGUAUCUUUUUCCAAAUGGACCGUGGUGGUUGGCAGGUAAAUCCAGUCGUGCAGGAUCUGCAAAAUAAAAUUAUGUACUACGUACAUAUUUCUCCAGAGCGGUGGUGAUCUGAGGUGGGGCUCCGUUUCUCAUAACUGUUUUUAAAACUGGCAAUAUCAGUAAUAGUUCUGUUAUGGGUUGAAUAAUUAAAUCUUGUUCACCGUUGCUGAACAGAAUUUGAUUUAUCCUUGAUAAUCUGCAUCCAUUA
Molecule: long non-coding RNA, 2000 nt
Organism: Lagopus leucura (white-tailed ptarmigan)
Lineage: Eukaryota; Metazoa; Chordata; Aves; Galliformes; Phasianidae
Exons: 7
Source: RefSeq, a predicted model, not a curated record